Long non-coding RNA from Austrofundulus limnaeus, 1383 nucleotides. RefSeq lists it as uncharacterized. Lineage: Eukaryota; Metazoa; Chordata; Actinopteri; Cyprinodontiformes; Rivulidae. The record is from RefSeq and is a predicted model, not a curated record. The transcript is spliced from 2 exons.
UCCAAAAAUGCAUUCAUGUUUAUUACAAAAAAAAACUGAUGUCACAGGCACUUUGAAAGCAUUUGUGCAGACUCUUUAUCCACACUAUUAAAAUAUUUUCUGAUUUCAGGUAAUAAAACACUUAUAUGCACGUGCAACCUCAUCUAUAGCGUUAAACACAGAUAUACAACUGAUGUAAGGAAACAUGAACUAAAUAAGCCUUUUUGGGGAUAAUGAUCUAUUUAGUUUUAACAUAAAAAUUGAGAACUGAUAYUCAACUUGCAGAAAUAUGAGUGUUCAGAAAAUAAAAUCACAGACAAAAAAUGACUCCAAAAAACAAACAUUUAGUCUUUAUUUGAUCUCUUUAACUGAUAAGUAGCAAUGUAAAACCUGAUGUCUAUUUAGAUUUAAAGCAGCUGUAAAUUUCAUUAAAAAAACUUACAAGAGGUGCAAAACGAUCAAAAAUCCCUUUGUUACACGUUGUUACAUGUAUGUCAGGAUUUAGUGUUAAAGGGAAAAUCAACAAAAGAUUAAUUCUCUAGUGUGGUGCUAAUAAAAAUUCACAGUAGUUGUUUAAAAAGUUAUCUUUGAAAAUAAGUCAGAAAUUUAACGGAGGAGUUUGUGAUUUCAGCAGAACGGCUCGUCUCAGACAACAAAGACUGUUGUCUGGACUGGUUCUGGACUCAUUGUCUCACAGCUUUCGUGGAAAAGCACAUCUUUACACGCGAGCAGCAGCAACUCGAGGCACCUCCAGUCAGAACUCGUCCAGUGUGUGUGUGUGUGUGUGUGUGUGUGUGUGUGUGUGUGUGUGUGUGUGAGUGUGAUUCUGUUACAGCAACAUGAGAUGCCUUGGCUUUUUAAAGAGACAAAACAUUCAAUCCAAAGACGAAACCCAAAUCUUAUUGCAUCAUCUAAAUCACUUAAAUACAUUAASGAAUGACGACUAACGGUUUGGUAAGUGCAGAGCAGAGCUGAGCUCGGUUAAAGAUUCCAGUAAGGUGCAAAACGCCAGCGCACAAAGCAACUCAAACUAGACGAGAUAGAGAGAUAGAUAGAGAGAGAUAGAGGGAGAGAGAGAGAACGGUGACUCAGCCGGACAUGCCACRCCUAAACCUCCUCUUAGGAUUGAACCUAUGCUAUUGCUGUGUGCAGCUUGACGUGUUAAGCCCCGAGGCUGCACCGUGACACCCUCAGCCGGUGCCGGACACACCCAGGGGUGCACUCGGAUGUCUCUUUGAGGACGGGGGGGGGGGGACUUGGCCUGAGUUUGGCUCGUGCAGCCCUUGGUGCUAAACCUUUGACAUCCGUACGACAACGUUGGAAGAAUGUGACGCUACGACAUCGGCAAGAMACAUGAGAACAUUUCCACUGAGGCACGGAGGGGAAGUUGAUUCUACAGCUAAA